RNAcentral lists this long non-coding RNA (22961 nucleotides) under Heterocephalus glaber (naked mole-rat). Its description in RNAcentral is "lncRNA (ENSHGLG00100048239.1)". The record is from RNAcentral. Lineage: Eukaryota; Metazoa; Chordata; Mammalia; Rodentia; Bathyergidae.
GUCGUUCCUGAAAUUCUUUCACAUAAUUGAAGAUUAAUUUGAUUCCCCAGCUUGUUGAGGGUAGUUGACAGUGGGGGGCUGGGGUGGGUGGAAAUAGAUUAUUCAAAUCACAAAGAAGUAGGUGUGCCCUAAGUGACUGUUCCAUUACGGCGAGGAAGAAAUGUUUGCCUUCCUAAGCAUUCAUCCAACUCGCUGCUGCCGAUUGUGUGGGGCCGGAGGAGAGUGCCUGCUCACGAUCGGAAAGCAGCUCCUCUCCGUGUCCUGUGCUGGUGACUUCAGAGAGUGCAUUGUCGUGUAUGGACACCACACCGACCACUCUGUAACCCUCACCCUUCGCCCAGGCCCCUCCCUGCCUGCUCUGGCUGUGCACAGCUACCCCAGAUCCUCGCCCUGCUGUUUGUGGCCCCCACACUUUGAUUUCCCCUCGUGUCUUCACUUUCCACACUUGUACAUCCCGAAAGUUUCCAAGUCCUAUGGAUUCUGCUUCUGUUAUUUCUAAUUCAAAGGUUCUGGGCUGUGCCUUCCAACUGGAUAAAGCUGACCCUGGAAUUGGCACCUGGUGGGUGAGCAAUCAGGGUCCGUUGAAUGAAAAAUGGCCUCCACCUUAAUCAAGGUUUCAGCUCCAAAAAUAAUCCUACGUGUAUCUCUGCCCACUACUGCAUUAUCCUCCAUGACAGUCGGCUUGGAUCACAUUAUUUUAAUGUUCAGCACCUAGCUUUUUCCUGAAUCCAAUGUAAAGUACUCUUUUCUUUUUCUUUUGGCACCAGGGAUCGAACUCAGGACCUUGCGCUUGUGAGGCAGACUCAGUGCCACUGAGCUAAAUCCCUGAUCCCCAAACUACUCUUUUUAAAUACACCCCAACUUAUUUUUCCUCAGUACUCCUUCACAAACUCCUAAAUACCCUAUGCUCAACACAAAACAUACAGUUCCCAAAGGAAGAUCUUCCAGCCUACACUUACCCAACUUUGUGAUGGGAAGAAAGCCACAGGGUAGGCUGGGAAGCAGGCUCUGAAGUUUGAAUUCAGUCUGUUCUGGGCUGGUGAUAGGUGGUGAUGCUUCUUCCCAGUCUGGACAGCAGCAGUGAGUCAUUUCAGCAGGAGAAACGCAGAAACUGUAGGUGGCACCGUGCGGGCAGUGUGUUUUGGAUAUUGUCAUUCAGAAAGUUAACUGAGAUAGUCAAUGCUUAAUUAUAAAAUGGGCUUUGAGUUGGGUGGUGCUGCUUAACUGUAUGUAAGGAAGGCAGGCCAGGCACAGCUGUGAUGUCCAGUAGGUGAAGAAUAGUAAAUACAUUUUUGAUUUUUUCUAUUUAUGAUGGGUUUUAGCCUCAGUAGAAAUGCAGCAGCACCUGUAUUAUUUAUUCAUUUUGGUCUCUGCCUCAUAGCUUAGUUUAUCUUCAUUUCUUCAACCGUAAUGCUUACUCUUGUUUAUUCAGCAGUAUUGGGGAUUGCACUUGGGGUCUUUGCACUGAGCUACACACCCCGUCUUUUCCCUUCUUUCCUGAGUCAAGGUGUCGCUAAACUGCAGAUUUUCCUGGGUUGAUCUCCUGAUUGUGAUUGUCCUGCCUCAGCCUCCUAGAGUGUAUCCGGCUUCACUCAUCUUUUAAAAGUGAAUUUUUACUGGGCUUUUAAGGCACAUUUCAAAUGCUGCCCCGCCCAUGGAGCUACAGUAUUUGGGUUCUGUAUGUCUUUUUCAGCUAAGCUGGAUGUUCUUCCCUUUUCAGGGAAUUUAUGGGAUUCCUACCAGCAGGUACCUGGUCGGGAGAUGGGAGCUAAACUUCCUUUUUUUGUGCCUGGACCCUCAAUGUCUUACACAUAGUAGGCACAUAGAGUACUUUCAUUAAAUUACAUUCAUGUUUGUUUUUUCCUCAGGGCUGCCGGGAUGUUUCUUUCUCUUUUGAGUCCAGGUUGAUGCUCCUCACUGUGGGGCGUGUGUCUGUGUGAGUAGCCCGCUUAGCUCCUUCAGUGAGGAGACAUACGUUGUUUAGUCCUUAUUUUAAACUACUUUUCAGAAUGGGAGAACAACGCCUUCAUUUUGGAUCCAUGUGAUGCACUUUGAAUUUGCUCAGCUUUAGUUUGUGCUGCCCCUCAUUCUGUGUGGAAAUUAGUUCCACCGAAGUGCCACUGAACUCAGAGCUGCCUGCAACUUGAGAUGCAAACUCCAACACUGUGGGCCACUUUUGAGAAGCAUGUGGUCAUUCGGGAAACAAAGACACUCCUGUUUCCUCUUCUCAAUAACAAUUAAGACAUCAGAUUAAUAGAAUCUUUAAAUUCUUGAAUGAUGCUUGCAGAACAGUUUGUGUUUGCUUUAACACAAAGGAAUACUUUCUGAAACCUAAAGGUCACCCAAGAAAUAAGAGAGAGACAAUUUAGGAAUGGUGCAUGCUGGUAGAGUUUUGCAGAAUGGCAUGUGUUCUUUACAGUGUGUUUCUGGCUUUGGAGCCACUUGGCAUGGGAGUACACUGUGAUUUACUGCAGACAGGCAUUCCUGGGCAAGGAGUCCCCUGCAUGGAAGGGACAUGCCAUCAGGAGAAGGAGAGGACACUGGGGGUGGGAUGGGGGAAGAAGACUUCUCAGUUCCCACUCUAGCAUUUACUUAAUGAGUGUAAUGUUCUUGCUAAUGGGAUUUAACCACAAUACCUGUCUCUAACCUUGUCACCGAAAAGGUAGUCUACAUGCCCCUCUUUUCAAUGCUGUCUGGGUGGAAACUGUGCCCAAGUCUGUUCUCCCAAUUUUCUAAGUGGUAAUCCUAGAAUUAUCUUGGCUCAGAAAUAAAUGAAGAACUCAUGUACAGGAGUCAGAUUUCCCUACAGGGGUUGUAACUGAAACAAGGAUUAAGUACCAGUGUACAAAACCUUUCAAGCAAUGGACAGCAUGUCAAUUGCGGAACACUCUAUCGUAGAAGGGCCCUUAGCGCUUCUCUUUUAUAAAGCCUGAGAUCAGAUUUUGGUGGAGAAUUAAAAGCAGGGCAAUUUAGCUCCUUUAAAGGGUUGCUGGUUUGGGAGGACCCAGCUAUUUUUAGCUCUGUUGCUGUCUGUCCAGGAAGCUAAAACAGCUAGUCAAUUAAAUGGUAAACAGUGUGUGUGUGUGUGUGUGUGUGUGUGUGUGCAAGGUGUUGUGUAGGAGUAGGGCAGGGAGCUGGGGAGAUAAAAUAGGCCUCAGAAAAGAGUCUACCCAGGGCAAGAACUUUGCAAAGAGUUGCACAGUGUCAUGCAGAUAAAGCAUCCACUGGUGGCCACCUGUUACACAGUGCACACGUUUAUUUGAUGUUGCGCAGCAGAUGGAAUGGAAUGACACUAAGCCAGCUGAUCACUCAUGCUCAGGCAUCCAUUGAGUGAUGGUCACAAACUCUCUGCCAUUUACUGACUAUCUGCUAUACACCUAGCAUGGCGCUUUACUUCCGGUGUGCCAUUGGAUGUUGACAGCUGCAGCCUGAGAAGCCGAUACAGAGACAUUUUUGCCCAAGAUUACCUACCUGAUAGGUGCCUGAACUGGAUUAGAAUCUAGUUUUCUUUCCAACUCUGCUCUAGUCACUUCUGUAGCCUGCCUCCCACACUGGUCCCAGCUGCACUGACACUAUGUGAUCUGAAAUCGGUGUGUGAGGGCACUUUGGCCUUCCUGGAGAAAGGCAUGGAGCACACACAGGCCCGAUAUGCACACACAGAAAUGUGUAUAUACUGAACCUACAUUUAAAUCCACAUUUUAAGUGUGCCAGUAUCCUUAAAAAGAAAUAAUGAGGGACUCUCAUUUACAUUUUGCUUUCCAGUUUUCCUGGAACUGUAAUUUGUACUCCUCUUUUUUAAAAAAAAUCCCCUUUACCUUCUUUUAUUUAUUAUGAUCCCUGGAGAAUGUGUCCUCUGCUCAUGGCCUAGAUAAGAGAUCAUGGGUAUGGAGCAGAGGUCAGCAAGAUAGACGUAUGUUAGAAAAAAAAAAGAAAAUAGCAGGGUGGAACCACAUGGCUCUUAGUGGUCAUUUUUUCCCCUCAUGCUGUGUAGCAAACCUGAGGCAUGCUCAAUUUGGCAUCUUUGAAUUUAAACCAUGGAUAAACCAAAUAGAUCACAAACUAUGAUUCCAAAUAGAAACUGUGGAUUUAUCCGAAGGUAUAUUAUAUGAUCUCAUCCAAACAUAAAAUUCAUAUUCUAAGAGUGGUGUGUAAAAUUCCCCGAGAUUUUAGUGCAAGAUAAUUUUCCCUUUUCAUGUGCCUUUCCUCAUAUUGAGAUAGGUGGAAAUCUUUUAAGAUUUUAAUUAACCUUCGUCCUAAUGAAAAACCAACUACCAAUCUAUAGAUGGAAGGAUAUUUCCUUGGACAAUGUAGCCGUUAGUGUAAGGUCUUGUUGAAUCUCUUUCAACAAGUGUUUGGAAAAAAUCAAAUUUAGAAAUAAACAUUCAUAUCUAGAGGGCCUAUCGGGGUUUCCCUCCAAGCAGACAAAGGAAUACUUUCAGUCUUAUUAUAUGUCUUUGGACAAGCUCAGCUCUCAGGGCCUGCUGAGCUCUAAUAUCUUACGAAUCACUAACAGUCAAACUUCUUUCAUUUUGAGGCCCAUUCCUGGAGGGAUAAAGAUAAUGUGGUCAAGGAUGCAACAAUCAGCUGUUGGACUCAGAUGUGGCUGUAGAUAUAAAACAGAGUAUCUCUUCCUUUCCAGAUCAAAGGGAGAGAGUCCUUAGAAUGCUCAAGUUCGAAGUAGACAAAGAGGAGAAGGAAUAUCUAGCAUCAAAAUAGUGGCAAAUAUAAAAAUCUAGGCUUAUUACUGAGACCUAGGAAACAAUUCUCAAGGAAUGUUCCUGCUGCCAGUUACCUGAGAUUUUUUAAUUACAGGCAAUUCAUGAUUACCUGUGAAAGGAGGGAUGGAGAGGAGAACUCAAACAAUGAAUGUUGCAAAAUCAUACAAAUUGGCUUGGGAAUAUUCUGCAUGAUUUCUCCCUCUUAGAAAUUUGCCUUCCUAAUUGUAUUUUGCUUAAUCCAAUAUUAAAAAUUAGUUGGUUUCCCCUGAGAAGCUCUGGAGUUAAACUGCAGAGGGAAUUAGUUUCAGGAGCAUGCCACUUGGAACGUGGUGGAUGAAACGUAUUCGGGCCUUAAUGGACCAAAAGCUCCCACAGAUAUUUUAAUCUUAAAGGAAAGUGUCAUCUUGAGCACCUUACUAGUCUUCUCAUGUUGCCUAAAAGGCUGUAAACAAGUAUUUGUGAUCGUUAUGUAGGUGAGAUUAUUUCUACCUAGAUUUGUGCAUUUUUACCUGGAGAAUGUUCCAUUCUCGUCUCUCCCCUCCUUGGUAGCUGUAGUAAAUAAUAAACCAUCUAUCAGACUUAAGCAUAGGGCCUUAAUGGGGCCAGAAAUUUUGUUGAAUAAAUGAGAACAUUACUUAAGGCAGGUCUGGGUCUCAUUGUGUGACACCCAAGCAAUCCAUGAGGUGAUGUUUGUGAUUUAGGAAUCCGAACCCUUAGGCUAUAGAGUUGUUUUCUUUGGGGUUCCAGACUAAGUUCCCUUUGCUUCCUUCCCAACUUCCUUAAUUCUUUCCUUUCUCCCUCCCUGCCCCAUUUUUUAUAUUUGCCUUGUACCAUAUUGAAAUUAUUUCAUAUUGUAAUGUUCCGUCAGUAUAUACAAAUUCAAAAGUAGACGUACAUCCCUUCAGCUUAUAGUGCAUCUACAACUGAAAAUCCAAAACAAAUUUGCACACUGAAUUCCAACAAAAUGACAAAUGCCGCACUCAGAUGAACAAUACUGAUUUGACGUGAUGAACGACAGUGAGCUAACAUUAAGUGCUCACUUGUGGCAGUGGUGGUGGACCGACUGGUAGGCUGGUGAUGCUUUAAUUUUAUCAUACCUUUCUGUGUUUGUGAUGUAGAAGACAGUUCUAACAUCUUACUUAAAUCCCCUAGAAAGCUUUGGUCCACAUAAGUGUGCUGAUAGAUCAUGUAGCCUCACGAAUCCAUAAUCCAUUUUUAGGUUCACAAUCAGGUAUUGUGGGUCCUGGUGAGUAUGUAGUUUUGGGGAGUAUUUUAAAUAAAAAGUUAAAAGGUAAUGAAAGCAGAAUAAGUGGGGUUCCUCUCAGGCCCUUGGAAAGAAUCUGUACAGAGCAGUGCUGAACAUCAGGCAUUCUUAGCUUCAAAUCCAUCUUCCAAAUCCAUCUCGUUCAUGGGUCAAGCACUUCUCUACUUUCCUUUUAUUACCAAUAAAAAUGUCCAACCGGGUAACAAUGAGGAGUUGUAUUUUGUUUUCAUUUUAAGGAUAUAGUUUUGCAUUAUACAUUGGUACUUUUUAAAGGUAAUUCUUAAAAUAAAAACAGAAAAUUAGAUAUGGUUAUUUGUAGCACAGAUGGUUGCACAAUCUUUUUAUGUAAACUAUUUCUCCUAUGAUGGAUUCCUACAAGGAAACCCUGGGAGAAAGUUUUGGGGCUUGCCUUUUUUUUUCAGCAUUCGUUUAAUUUACAGAGGUCAUGGAAAUAGAGAGGUCAGCAUUUCUCAAGAACAGCUUUUCCCAACCUGCCUGGCUUCUCGGAGCUUGAUCUGGGGGCUCACACAGCCCUUGUCAUUGUCUGGCACCUCGCCUGGUAACAUGGUUGUGAGCCCUGUCAGAAGACAGGGCCAAAGUGUGCCUCAGGUCAGCAUUUCUCUGGGGACCGAGGGGGCAGGCAGAACCCAGAGGUCAGAUCUGCCUUGGGGAUAACAUUGCAGAGUCCAGUGGUUGCAAUCAGGUGUGUUAUAAGUCAAAGCCACAUGGCAAACAGCAGGCACAGGGAAUGCUCAAAGGUCAGAUGGGCAACACAAGCCAGGGUCAGGAAGAACUUGGAGCUACAAUACCAGUUGGCAAGCAAAGCAGUCAUAAAAACCAUGAUCAGGCACAUUAUGCCUGUUGGACCUAAAUUCUUUCUGCCUACGAGACUGCUGUGCUCAGAGACAUUGGCUCUGGUACCAUGUGAGAGCACCUGGUAGACUGGAGAAUAAACUAUUAUACUCAAGAUCUAACCUGCCCUCUCAGGUUCUCUUCUCUCUAAGACAGGACAGUGAUGUCUCCACUGAAGUGACCUCCAUCGUACAGGUAUCCAGGAUACAUGCUCUGGGUGGAGCUUAGUUCUAAGAGAAUGUUUAUCUUGGAACCUUCUAAGGCUUUUCAUCAAAUAGUCCUAGCUUUCUUACUCCUUGCUUUAUGGGGUUGUUGUGAAUGGGUUUUGUAAAUAAUAAAGGACUACCACAUACCAGAUGACUACAAUCCUUUCUUUCCAGUGGGGAUUCUGAUGUUUAUAUUACCUGAAAGUUGUUUUCAAGUGAGGUUCUCAGCUAAUAAAUAUUUUUUUGGGUUUUCUUUCUAUUUUUUUUUUCCUUGAUUGAGCCUCAUCUUUUUGGUGACCAAUAAUUUAUUGGAAAUUUUAUCUGAGAAAAAUGUUUGCAGAGAUGGAGAGUUUCCCAGAUUCAAAAGAGAUUUUUCUUCUAAAACUCAGAGCUGGUAGAGCUACAAGACCAGCCUCUUUGUCUAAUCAAUCAGGUUUUUAACACAAUACACCCAGCUGAUGCUUGGGUAGAAUACAAAUUCCCAGUCAUGUGAGCUCUUAUCAGUUAUAAUACUGACAAAGAAUUAGCCAGUCUCUUUUGGUAAAAUGAUAGUUGCGGGCGCCUUAAUUUUUCUAGAAAUAUUUGGGGGAUUUGAAAGCUUAAGAAGUAAACAGGUUGUUUUGCUCAGGAAACCUUCUCUGAAAGACUGAGCAGGGUUCAUCUGAUGACAUUAGCUUUGCAAGUAAUUUCCAUGAUGUCAAGGGCACACUGGAGAUUAAAGAGGGAUUAAGACCUCCUUGCACAGUUAUGGCAUUGCAGUAAAUGGACUGGACUUGGCAGGCUGCAGCUCCGGUCGGCAACUUUCCAACACCUAAUCAUACACAAUAUAGGUUUGUGGUGUUACCUGGGCUAUUUUCACAGAGGCCAAGAAAUGUUUAACAGAUAAGGUGGGAGGAGAAAGAGGCUGGGAAGGAGGGUGGACCUGAGAAGAGCAGUUUAAGACACACCUGCCACCAUCAAGAGCUGCCGAAGAAGAUCAAGACAUUAAGGAAAAACAAUUUUUUUCAUAAUGUUUCAAAACAUGAGUUUCCAUCCUUUUUCCACUCCCAAAUUCUCCAGAUAUGCCUCUCUCUUAAAAGCUUUUUAUCCUUCAUGUUAUUAUCAAUUUCUUCAGCAAAAGGAGGCAGGUUUGUCCAGGAACUUCAUGGAAUAAAAAUGAGUUUAUGUUUUAAAACGGAAACAGCUGGAUGGCCAAAGCCAGGCAGGGAGGCAGCUCUGGUUUCAUCAGCAAAGGGAAACUCAAGGGCCUGGAGAGAACAACUGGGCUGGCAGCCAUGGCGGGGAGAAGAAAAGGAAACACACGAUCAUAAAGAACUAAUCAUGAUGAAAAAUGAAAAGCGAGAAAGAGCCAAGAACAACAAGCAAUAAAUAGAUUUGGAAAGGGGAAAAGACCAAAGGAAUGCAAAACCAUACUCAGGAAAGGGGCAGCAAGAUCAUGUGCGUUUCAUUGAAAAAUGUUUAAUAAUUCUUAAAAUCAUUAAAGAGUCCUACAGAAAUGUUUGGAGAUAACUUGUCAGACCUGAGAUUUAAUUCUUUGUGUUAUUUCAAAGCUGAUUUCAGUGCAUGAAAAGAAACAAAGUAAGAAAGGAAGAAAGGAAGAAAAGGAAAGGAAGAAAGAAGGAAAGAAAGAGAAUCAAAUGGACCUAGAGGGAGGAAUCUAAUGUAUAAUGUGCCAGAAUGCUUGGAUUUUUUUCUUUCUGCUUUUAUUUUUUUUUAACUUUUAAUUUCAGCCCGAUGGUAGGGAAAGUAAGCAAUUAGUUUGACUCUGUAGGUUCAAAGACUACAUCCAGGGCUGGGGAUUUAGCUCAGUGGUUUUGCCUCCUGCUGCGCAAGUGCAAAGACCCGAGUUCGAUCUCCGGUACCAAAAAAAAAAGGACUACAUCCAAAGUGAUAAAUCCUGAGUUUCUAAGAGUAAUUCAUACAUUCCUAGCUUUAAUUAGAAAUAGCAUGUACAUUUUUCUCUAUGCAGUAAUUGUCUGACAUUCAUGUGUUUGUCUCAAGGGACUGACAGUUCUGACUCACAGGUAGAUCUCUAAAUAUUUUCAGAUGAAAUUAACAUGGAUUUAAGGAGGACUUAAGAAGAAAACCAGAUCCUAGUUUGUUGUCCCUCUUGAAGUGUGUUCGACAUGAUAAAAUAUACAAACAUGGCCAAUUGUCCAGGCUAUCCUCGAGAUGGGAUUUUUAAUAAAAACUAUUUGAAGUUUUACAGCAGUUAUAGAUAAAAUCUUACCACAGAAAUGGUGCUGUCUUUUUAUAGGGGGGAUACUAAUUAUUAGCUUUUUUAAAAAAAUUAGUUUUUAAUAGCAGCAUUCGUUUAAAGAGAGAAAAAAAUGCUUAUGUUACCUUCUGGAAUGUACAUUCAUCUUGUUAAUGACACUGUAGUUCAUGGUUGGCAAAACAGGACUUCUGAAUCAACCUGUCUUUUUCUUUCCGUUUGGUAGUUACACUUGAGAAAGAAAGCCAGCCCACUAAAGAUACAUGAAAAGUGCAUGAAGACAGGAUAAAGGAUUUCCUAUGAUUUUAUGUUGUUCUUAAUUAGGAAGCAUAUUGGCAACAAAUGCUAACAUGUGUUAAGAUGUUUAGUUGUAGCCAAAUAAAUGUUUUCUAUUACAACUCUGAAUUCCAUGCCUACUAGGAAACCAUGCUGUUCUGUGCAUGGCUUACAAAAUCCCUUUACAAAUCAUCUCAAGGACCAAUUUUCUGUUGGCUCACAGAGCAAAACUACUUUCGCCACAUGUUCUCCUGAAGGGUCAUGGGCAACUCCAAGCGGAAGUCAAAGACAAGAGGAACAUGAUCUCCGAUGUUGGAACUGCACUGCUUUGUGGUAAUGAAUGGUCCUUCAUGAGCAUACUCAAUGUGAGCCCAGUCUCAGAAGGGGGUGUCCAGAAGCUAGGGAGCAGCACCCUCUCAUCUGUGUUUGUUUUUAUCUCAGUGGAGGAGAAGCCAAGUGAAGAAGAAUUUCCUAUAACUUCUGCUAGCAGUGUAUCACAAAAUGCUUCAUCUCCGAUGAACAAGAGUAGGCACCAAGCUGAGUAACAAGGCUAGAGAGGAUCCUUAUCUUGAUCAUUGCGUAUUUUUAAAGAGCAAACAUUUAUUUUCUACUUCUAAUGUCAGAAGUUGAUUGAAAAAGAACAAAAAGUGAAUGGUGGUGAAGUUGUUUCCUAAAAUUUAAUAUUAGGGCACCUUCUCUAUUCAGGAUCUUAUGUUGCAAGCUAACUGUACAACUGUCAUGCUUUUGGGGGGUAACUGGUGCAUGGAUUAUUCUAUCUGUGUCUUAGAAACUUUAAGAGAAAAGAUUUCCAUCAUGGUAUUUUCUACUGCAUUGCACAGAAAUUUUACAUACCCUCAUUCAUUUACACAGCUGAAAUGACACAGGAGAUAGCCAGCAUCUGUCCAUUGGUUGGAAAGCACUCUAGUUUUUUGAUAUCAAUAAGUCAAUGGAAUCCAUGACUUACAGCAAUCUUGCGGUAUUCAUUCAAUAUGCUAUGACCAUGUUACCUAAAAGCUUCAUCUCUGCUCCCUGCAAUAUUCUUCCUCCAAUUUUUGGCUGGUGUGUUCUCUCCCUUCUUCAUGCCUUUUUUCAAUUGUCCCAAUUCCUGAAGCUUCUCCUCAUGUCUCAAGUAUUCUCUUUCCCUGUGUGCAAUUAUUUUGUUUUCUUCAUUAAUUUAGUUCCUCUCUCCUCUUCUAGGCUAUACAUUUCAUGAGGAAAGAAAGGCAUUUUGGUGUCAUUCUGGUGCCUAAGAACCUAAGUAGGAGAUGUGUAAUAAAUAAUUUGUUCACUGAAUUAACAGGCCCAUAAUAUUUUUGUUAUUCCUCUCACAUCCAUGGGCAACAUGUUCAAAACCUUGAAAAUUAUUAAAUCAUUUCUCUGCAUUGCUAUGUAAAACUUCUAAUAUUCCUAAUAAGACUGACCAUGCUUAUGAAAUCUUUUUUCCUUGGCCCACUGAGUAUAUGGACCACGAAAUAUUUAACAAAAAAGUGAGACUGUACAAAGAAGCACUAGGUUAGUGAAAGAUGAUUUUUUUUUUUUAGUGCUUUUAGGUGGUGACCUCUUAACAAUGUAUCAGAUCUUUUGUAAACCGUGAAAUGAAAUGACUGGCUAUCGGAACUAAAUUUGAAGAGAAAAACUGUCAUCUUCAAAGCAGUAAAAUCUCUAUAUAACCAUGUAAACUAAUUACUAGGUUAAGUAAAAUCACUGAAAUAUAUCAGGCCUUUCUCAUGUCUGCAGGGCAGACAUAAUACAGUAAAUUUCUAAUAGUCAGCCUGGGAAGGCGCUGUAAUGGUUAGAGGAUGUCAUGGUAAUAGUCUCAGUUUUGGUUGGGAGACUUACAAAGAGAAUAUUGGUUGUACAUAAACUGUAGAAUCUACUUGAAUAUUUCUUUUUCAUUUCUCCCUAUCAAAGAGUGGAAGAUAUUUUGUGUAUAAUGUUUUUUUUUAAUUUUAGAUUAUUUGGUAUAUUGUAUUUUUUCAUGUGGGUAACAAAAAUACGUGAGCAAGAGCAAAACCUACCAGAAGCCUCAAAAACAUAGGUACCAUGGAAGACCUCAUGAUUCUUUCAAUUAUUAAAAAGCACUAUUUUAAGAAGACAUGUUAGUAAUCCACAGUAAGUCAGAAGUAUUGGAUCAACACAUUGGAACAUUGAGUAUUUAUUUAGUUUUUGGUGCUGGGGCUGGAACCUAGGGUCUCACAUGUGGCAGGUAAAUAUUCUACAACUGAGCUGUACCCCUAGUUCUGAAUGUUUGUUUUAUUAGGUCAUUUUAUAUACAUAUAUAUUUAAAUUUGGGACAUUGUUUUCUAAAGUCUCAAACUACUCUUAUACUCAACCCCGAAGACAACCCAGCUCACCACUCUGGAUUACGACUAACUGUUUGCGUAUAUGUUUUUCCCAAGAAAUUAUGCACCUUGAAGAAAAAGACUUCAUUUUUUUUUGCUUCACAAUAUUUCCCAUGACCCAGUGCAUGGAAUGGAUAAAUUACCCUUAGCAGAGGCUCAUCAGCGAUUCCUGACUUCCCUGCUAACUUUUCCUAGAGAUGUGAAUUAAAGAUAGAAAUUUGUUCAGACCAUUGAUGGUCCUCAGAAAUACAAUCUUAAAAAGUUGAUAUCUAUCCGGUCUCAAUUCAUGGAGAGCGGUGGGAACCAGACCUCUGAAAAGUGGUUGAGUAUUGGGCUACAAGCUUAGGGGAUAGUCCAUGAGGAAUAAAACCAAAAACAUACAUUAACAUUUAUUUGCCCAAACGGCUGGUGCCUUAAAAGCUGGUGCCCUCCCCCAUUCCAAUUAACAUGGAGGGAAAUAUUCCAGCUGCUGGGAUCUUUCCUCUGCAUGCGAACCUGCCGUUGUUGCCUGGGUAGCCUGUGUGUCUCUUUGGAAUUGAUAAUGAGGUUCAAGAGAGAGAGGUAUGGCCUGUACUAAGCAUGUCACCCCUAUUUAGCACCUUUGCCAGGAUGGCAGCCACUAUUGUUUUAUUAUGUCCCUGAUCAGCUGGCACUAUUCAUAAAGUAAUCACUGCCAUUAACACAUCACGCCUCAAGCCAUCUGCUGCAGCAUCACGUACACCAAGCUGUUGGUUGCAAGCAAAGCAGGUGUCAUCUAAGGAUAGUGGCACGGUAAAGGUGGGAAGUCAUCAUAGUGAAAGAAGAUAUGUUCUAUCAAAUAAUUCCAUAUUUUGAUACAUUAUAGUAUAAUAGGCCAUGGUUAUUUUGCCCAACUUGCAGAUGGCUUAAAUAAGAUAAUUCAAGUUUGAAAUAUUUUAUUUUCAACACUGGUCAGUUAUGGAGCCAAAAAUGUCCUUGAAUACCUUGAUGAUAGCAUCUUGAUCACAAGUGGACUAUUGCAUUAAUUUGCAGUAAAGUUUAGAGCAUUCUUACAGAAGCCUUCCUCUGAUCAAUCAACUCUUCAAGUGACAAACAUUUACUGAGCAUGUAGUAAGUGACACUGAUACCUGUCUUGCUCAAAUUGUAAAAGUACUAGUUUAAAACAUGAUCUGGUAAUGUAUAUGGUAGAGACUCCAUGUGUACUGAAUUCCCACCCUUUGUUCUGUCCCUAACACUUCUCUUGAUUUUUGAAUAAUUUUAAGUUUUUAUUACUUUCCAUAUUGAUGGCAUUUUUAUGUCCAAAACAAGUUUACAUUGGAAAAAUAUAAUGAUUAAAUGCAAUCUAUAAAAAUGGAUAAAGUAUAGGAUGAUCAGUUAUUGCCACCCUCUUCAUUAUGAAGGGGAUUUGUGAUUAUACAAUCAUGAGUGGAGUUAAAAAUUUAAUUGAAAGUGUUAAGUGAGGUUAGGGAGUGAAAUAAGUGAUCAUACUUGGUCCAAAUAGUCUUUUCCACCUGCGUGUAAAGUGGAACUGCAUUCCUUGUUUCUUUAACUAUAGAAAAUUUAUCUAUUUGCUCUGUACUCCCCCCAUAAAAAAGAAAUAAUAAAACAUUAAUGAGAGUAGCUAACUCUGCCCUCUAUUUCAAUCCCCAAGCUUUGCUCUUAUCUUGGAAGUGAGAAGUGUUGGAUGAGGGGUUGGAUCUGCCAGCCCCUCUGUUACUUUUAGCAGCAUCCUGCUCUUCACUUGCUAAGGAUAUAUGUGUCUGGCUAUGCAGGCUGUGGUCCUAGGGUCCAUGUAACACAGCACUGUUCACCAGGACACACCUGUCCACAUAUCCUCUAGGCUACUGGGUGGUCUAAGGGAUUUUUAAGGCUAAAUUUGACUUUACAUUUAGAACUUCACCUCUAUGGGUGUAUGUUAAUCACCCAUGGAAUUGGUGAAGGCUACCGGAUUCCAAAAUCUAUUGAAAGCAAAGAUAGCCAUUUUCUAUAUCAAGAUUUCUCAACUACUUUUGAACUCAACUUCCUUUUGAAAGACAAAAGAAAUGUCAAGCUCUCUUCUCAUCCCUGAAGAUUUGUGGAUCCAUCUGUUGUCACCAAAAAGACACUCUCAAGAUCUACUUUUGUAGGUGGAGUUAAGAAAAACGUUUUAAAACUUCUCUUCUUGCCUUUACACCCUGAGAAUUUGGAGUGUAGAUUUCAGAUGGGAAGUAGACUACUUUUCACUAUCAAAUACUCAAUUGAAGGCAAGAUUUAGUUAUUUUGACUUGAAGAUUGAAAUUUUGGAGUCUGGAAUGGCUACCUUUGAAAAUAUAAGUGAAGAUAAAAAGACACAAAUGAAGAAUCAAAGAACAAGCUAAUGAUUAUUGUCCUUUUCUAAGGGGACUACAUAUGCUCAAUAAAUCUGUGAUUACUGACUACCUACUGACUUACAGGGACAGGCAUGCUGAUGGUUUUGGAUACUGUAAUUUUAAGUUGACUUUGCCACAUGUGAUUUAAUACUUUGAAUACAAAGCCCCCAAAUUGUUUGCUAUUUUGUUUGGAUCAAAAUGUGUAGCUCAAAUGACUUUGUAAGACUGGCUUCUCAAACUAUCACCUGCCCUUACAUCAGGCUCAGAAAGAACACAAAGACAAAAGACUCUUAGGUCCACUUCUGAUGCAUUACCAGCUCUUGCAAAUGCUCAACCAAGAAAAUACAUAAUGGUUCCUCUUUCGUCACUUUUGUUAAAAUAUUUUUGUUGAAAGUUGGUAAAAGCUGUAGAUGAGCAAGCCUGGUCAUAGGUUUGAACCUGGCACAAACGACGAGGGCACCUGGGAGAUAUUCUCCCGCUGAACAUGUCCACAGUACAGUUUUUGCCUCAGGAGCAUGUUCACUGUGGCUCUGCAGGACCCAGUUGUGUGAUAGUGGGAGGCUGAUCGACUUAAAGCACAUUGGUAGCUUGUGAACACUUAAGACUGGAAACCUUCUUUGAUAAAUGCACAUCUGUCUUCUUUUUUUGAAGUCCUUAGGAAAAAUGUUGCCGGACAUUUUGCUGCCCGGAGGAGUCUAGACUUCCUUAAGCAUAAACCUUAAUCCUUCCUGGCUUCCUGCUACAAUUCUUCUGUUUCCUCCCCCAUCUUUUUCUGGGCAAAGCCAAUUCUUUUUCUCUACUCUUACCUGAGGGUCUCUGUUCACUUUUGAAGCCACAGACAAUGCAAGAAACAUUUAUUCGAAUACCUAGGCCCCAAAUGUUUCUGGAAAAAUAAAAGAUGUGUGACCAAGGACAUUACUUACCCUUUCAAUCUGUGAAAUGGAGACAAUCCAGAGAUAUCCCCUAAGGGGCCUAUGGGUAAUCAUAUAAUGUUUAUAACUCUAUAAAACAAUGGGAUACUUAUCCUUGCAAUUUGUAAAUAUAAAUUUAUAAAGACUAUAACAGUUUAACUUAUUAUAGUACUUAUCAACAUUGUUAUGUGAGUACCAUGCACUAGCCCAUUGUGUCACUGAAACCCCCUUACUGAUGUUGUUAAACACUCAGGCUUCCAGAACAUACUAAGUGUUCAAUAAAUAUAAUCAGUUACUAUUUAGAGUAAGAUAAAAAGGUAAUAAAAUAAAGCUGUAAUUCUUGUAUGUACACAGCAUGGAGGAGAAAGACUACACAGCAUGGCUAAAGACUUGGAGAUCUGACUUGAAUAUUUUAAAGGACGUAUCUUAAAGCCUCCUUGAGGUAAAAAGCUUUGCUCCACCCAACGUCCCUGCCAUGAUGUUCUGCCUCAUCCCAGAACCAAAAGCAAUGGAGACAAGUGACUAUGGACUGGAGCCUCUGAAACUGUUUUUACUUGAAGACACCGAGAACUACAGCAUCAUUCAUUGUUGGCAUGUUACAGUAGAAAGACCACUGGGCUUGGGAGUAAGAAGAUGGAAAUCAAAGAGCCAGUUUUUUCACUUCAACAAAAUGGUGCUGAAGAAAUAGGAUAUUUCAGUGGUUCCUGAGCAUAACUUACAACAUCAGCAUGGUUGGAACUCUGUGCACACAUGCGUACACAUGGAUUACCCUCCUGAGCCUUUGGUUCAAAAGAUUGGAAAUUGAUUCCUAUUGUUUACAAGCAGCUGGUGUCAAUGACUACUGAUACAUCCAUUGAAUUCUAGUUUCUUCAUUUGUAAAACAGGAAUAGCAUUUCCUAUCCGUCAUAAACGAUUGUUGUGAAGAUUAAAUGCAACAAUAGACUUGUGGCACAGGCAUAAUGCUCAGAGGAAGCUCCCUUGUUUCUUCUUCCAGUGAGCCUUCCUUGUUGUAGCUCAGAGCUUCCCAAAGGGGAUUAGCUCCAUGGGAUGCUCUGCGGAAUGACUGUGUCUUGGGCAGUUGUAUUUGACACUUAGUCUUCCUUCCUGCUUGCUAAUGGACCAUUAGAACUUUAAGGACUCUAAAAUGAGCAGAAGAAAACGGACUGGUUAAAUCUGUUGCACUCAGUGUCCCCCAAAAAGUUAUUUUACUAUUAAACUUUUUAAAGUGGCAAUUAUUAAUUGAUGUUCAACAGAGCAUGCUUCAGGGAUCACUUCCCUCUACAAUCUCUAACUAAUGUUCUACCUUUCUAUAACCUCUCUCAGGGAAUUUACUGCUUGUUUUGAUCUGAUUAAGACCCAGGCUUUCUAAUCAUCCCGGACAAUAUCUGCUCUUUUUCUGAACUACUAAUUUCAGUGGACACUCAUAUUAGUGAUGAUUCUAUUUAACUUUAACUUCCUGAGAUUAUGAAGGUAGAACACAAAUUAUCUUGGAAGAAAUUAAACCAACAAUUUAGAAAUAAAAUUAAUAACUAAACAGUAAAAAUUCACAAGUACAAGGGUGUUAAAUAAAAAAAGAGAACAUUAUAUUUUGAGAGAGCAUAACUUACUCUUGCACCCAGUUUGAUGGGAUAAAUUUAAAAGUACAAGUUUGUCUGAGAGCUAAAUUAAUCCAAUAGUCAGAAAUACCUUGAUAAAAACUUAUAAAUGAACUAAAAAUAGUUAAAUGAGAUUGCUGCUGGAGGAUAACAACAUUGAAGUUGCCAAUCUAAGAGCUAUUGAGAAGCAGAAUAUAGUUACGUAGGUUUUUGGGGUGACAUAAUUUGCCUGGUCUGUAUUUUUAAAGGAAGGUGGACUAUUUUGUUUCUAUACAUCCUCCUGGAACUGAGAAUGUAUAUCUUUAGUUGAGGUGUGUCUAUAAAAUAAUGUCUUACUUAUUCAGGCCUAAGUGGAAGAGGGUACACCUGUAUGGAUGCAUGGCUUGAGGCGAAUGAGUGAACAAGAUAGUUGGAUUCAGGGUAUAAAGUUCAAAGCCAGGUCAGGAAGAGUUAGCAUUAAGACUUUGCUUCUUCAGAUAACUACUCAAUAUGUAUAUUUUUUGCAAGCAUCUUGCUUUUGCAGGUCUGCUAUGAAAAUCUCAGAAGAACAGCUUUGCUUGUGAGCUCUCCCACAUUUCUACUCUGGUCCUGGCCAGAAAGACUGUGAGAACACCCUUUCAUUUGGUAUUUGAGCCCUUCUGCCUCUAUUCCUGGCUUCAGACCAAAGGGAAUAAAUGCAACCGAACAUUUCAGAACCUCGAAAUAGUAAACCGAAAAUGGUUUGCUCUGCUUUUGGUUCUAAAAAUGAUUGACCUGAGAAUUUUUUUUCCAAACUAUCUGCUUGGUCCAUCUCUAGUGUGGAUUACUGGACUUUAGAAACCUGAGGAGGAGAGUAUUUCUUAGAAAAUACAUAAAGAAAAUAUGCAAACAAAAUUUUUAUAAUAAAGGUGCCCAGUUGCUACAACAGAGGUUAGAUUUUACGAGCAUGGUUUAUAUUCCUGAGUAUUUAAAGCAGAAGAGGCUUGGAUGAGAAAGUGGAAAACAUGGGCUUGUAUGGUGAGCCAGUUCAUCACUAGCUUAGUGACCAGGGCAGAUUCCCUAGGCUUUGUCUCCUCUGGGCAAAAUGAAUAGAAAUCAAAAGAAUUAUACUUAUUUUAAUUGAGUCAUUAUGAAGAACAAGGUAUUUCAGAAUACCUUAAAAAUUACAGUGCCAAAGACCAUGUGAAAGUCAGUAAAUCAUAGGGACUACAAGUUUGUAUGUUACCACCAAACACACCUGGUUUCAAAUCUCUGUUCCUCUGCAUUCCAGCUCUGUGACCUGCGUAUGUCACUAAAAACCUCUGAACACUGAUUUCAUCAUCUGUGAAAUGAGGAGAGUGAUGUUGGGAGAAGAAAGUCAAAUGAUGUAAAAUGGUAUUGAUGAUGCCUAUUGUACAUACUCAUAGUUCCAGGUGCCAAUCUAGAGAACCCUCUGAACUAUUUUCCACACAGUUACUUAGUCUUCUGAAUCCCAUUGAGUUGACACAAGAAUGAUGCCCAUGUGUUGGGUGGCUGCGUAGGGGGUCAGUUUACUUGCUUGGAUCCAAAAUAUGGAUUAGGCUCAAUGGGAAUAUCCAAAGGAGAAAGUAGAACACUCUGGCCGGGCUAUGCCAAGUAUAAAGCAAUGCUGAUUUGGGUCAAUUUUUAGCAUCCACUUUUCAAUAGCAAAGAGAGAAAGGUGAAAGGUAAAACUAUAUGCAGGGCCACUUUUUGUGGAAUUAGAACACCAGGACAGAUUUUCUUACAUUAGGGAUAGGAUACUUGUUUUGUGAAAAACAGGUAUUCACUAUAACUAAAUAUACAAUGUCACUGGUAGUUUACUUGAUAUUCCCUACACACAUUAAGGAUAGGAAUUUAGUAAAUAUUUGAUUUGAUUAAAUAUUAAAGUAUCAUAUAAGUCUUCCAAUGAAAACACUGUCUUUAAUCCACCCAGCAGGACUUACUGUUCUGCUACCCCUCUAAGGUGUUUGUUAAAUAGCAUUCUCUCUUCCUCCCUUCAUAGUUAAAGUUUUUGAGUGAAUAAUCCUAUUGGCAGCAUUUCUUCAUGGAUUUGGAAUCCCUACAUUUCUCUCCCUCUGGGUAUUGACACUUCUGGGCACUUGUGACUCCCCAAGGGCCACAUCCAAUGACAGUUUGUAAAUGAGAUUCUCUUUUGCCAUUUUGCAUCUUUUACCUUCUGCAGCACUUUUUUGUCCCCUCCCCCAAUUACAGUGAAUCCUUUUCUGUCGCCUUCAGGUGCUUCCUUGGGAUUCUGUCCUUUAUCGCCUUCUCUUUACCCCAUACCUUAAGCCAACCCUGCCAAUCUACUACUCUAGUUAUCUCCCCUACCCGAAACUCUGGGCCCCCAUAAUGUUCCUCCCAAGCUUGUUAUCUUCACCUGGAUGUCGUCAAGCUUGGUGUCCAAAGUCAAAGCUCAACAACUGUCUCUGUAAGCCGGCUCCCCUCUCCUGCCCCCUUCACUUCAGCCAUUUUGUUUGUAUAUGAAAAUAAACUUCUCCUGGUGGGAAAAAUUCAAACCCUCAGCACUAUCUUGGUCCCAAGGCUCUCGUUUGACCUCAAGUUCCAGGAAAUUCCCAUGUUUAGUUGUGAGCCUGUCAAUUUUAUCUAACUAUGUCUGCCACACUUACAGGGUGGACAGAUGAUGCUUCGAGGGUCUCUGGUUCUCUCUGGGAUGUGUACUCAUGCGUUCUGAAGACAGUUGCUAUAACUCCAGCCAUUUCUUCUGUAUUUUAGACAGGAAAAGGAGAUAGACCACAGAAUCAAAGGGCACUUGCCAAUGCCCAAGGGGCAUCCUUUAAGGGGAGUUUUCUUGAAGGAACUGUUUGAUAAUCUUUGCUUAUAUUGAGUUGACCAGAGCAGAGCUGCAUCAAUCCACCAGGGAGGCAAAGAAAUAUAGUCAAAACAUCUGACCACAGUGCUGCUCCAAUGAGAUAGAACACUAUGGGAAGGGAAGAAAAAGCAGCAUGAGAUUGAGUAGAUGACCAAGGGUCUUUACAAACCCGUUCUCUUUACUUUCCUAUGUUUUCUUAAAAGAAACAACCACUGAAUUUGGAAGGAUAAAAGAGACUACAGUUCUUUCUUUCCCACCCUCAUCAUCUUACUUCAUACUCUUCUUACCUUUUUGCUUAGAUUCUUGCAAAGUUACAUGUAAGUCCCUACUCCACUUUUACUAUUUCCUCGGGUCUCCACGCAUUUAUUAAAGAAGAGAGUGUUGCUGAUGGGCACUGUGCAACAUGCUCAGGAUGAAAGAAACAAUGUCCUUGUUCUUGAUUUGAUCUACACAUUAUAUACCUGUCACAAACAUCACACUGUACCCCAUAAAUAUGCACUAUUAUUAUGUGUCUAUUAAAAUCAAUCAAUCAUCAAUCAAUCCCAUGACCUUUGUUAUGGUACAUAUAGUCCUGUCGGGGAGACCAACAUGCCAGCAACUGGUCCCAGUACACCACAUCACAGGAUGAGAUGGACGUGGACGAAAUGAAUUGAGGAAGCAGAGAGAAAACCAUGGCUACUGGAGCCUGGGAAAGUCUGAGAAGACUCUAUAGAAAAGUGGAUAUUGUCAGCUGAGUUGUGUUUUAGUAAGCAUUUCACAGGCCAACUCAAAGAGAAAUAAUAAGUUUUCUGUGUUUGCAAACUAUUGCCCAUGAAAAACUGAGGGGUGACAUACUUGACCUCACUCCAAAUUUAAUUUUUAAAGAAAGGAAUCAUAAGUAAAAGUAAUUUAAAAUAUAACAUUACAGGGCACAGUAUUGAUAAAUGAGAGGAAAACUGGUUCUUAAAGAGUGUACCACUCACUGACCAUGCCCUGAAAUUAACUGAGAACUCAUUUGUCAAGAGUGUACCUACCCUGAGAAAAUCUUCCAAUUAACAUCAAAAGUGAUCAUUCUUAACCUCUCAUGCAUUAAGAAAUUCUUGUCUGCACCUGAUGUUCUGUUCAUAAUCAAUGGAGCUCUUUAUGUAUGUUAUUUCAAAUUUAUCACCCUGUAUAUUACUAAAAUGAACGAAUUAAUAAAUGAAUCUGCUGUAGGUCCAGAAGCCAGAUUUAUUUGUUGUCUCCUGGUUCUCAUAGGAUUUUCCUUUGGUCUGUAAGUCAUUUCACUCUGCAGUUUCUCACAGUUUCCGAUAUUUAUUGAUAGCUACUGACAGCAUGUGUUGGUACUUACAGACCAAUGGUGUCUAUGUAAGAAAAAUGCUUUUUGGGAGGAUUAGAUCUGUUCUGAAAAAUGUCAGCCAUGUCACUAUCAGACUAUGCUAAGAAGACAAUGCAAAAGUCCUAUCAGUUCUAACUGUAAUAUAUUGUCACAGAAACAUGCCUCAAGAUAAAUUAAGUAAUACUUGAUGCUGUCAUGGUAAUGGGAAGAUUGAUAAGUUUAUAAACUUUGGUUGAGAACAAAUUAGUGCAAUAUUCUUGGUGGCCACUAUCACGAUAUGAGAUUAAGAUAUGUUAGGCUAUAUCCCUAAAUUUGGACCCUUAAUUUCUACCUAUAAGAAUCUACCUAUGAAAAUGAUUAAAAUUUAGAAUAUGAUGUAGAAAAUGGAAGUCAGAGCAUUCAAUAAACUGCAAAAUAUCCAAGAGCUCGAAUAUUAUGUAGUCUAUCAAAAAUUCUGUCUUCAAAUAUUUUUGAUUACAUAAAAAAGUGCCUGUUACAUUCAGUGAUGGACAAGAAGGAAAGUAUUAAGGUCUCAUCCCUCUCUAUGUGGAUAAAUGUCAUUCAUGUUUAUGCAUGCAUAUCUUUCAUGUGAUUUGCACUGGACUGCUAAGAGUUUAAGUGAUUCCUGUUAUCUUCAGGGUUAUCUAAAUUUUAUAACUUUCUACAUCAAGAAGUGUGAGUUUCAUAAUCAGGAACAAAAAAGAAAAUCUUAAAAGGAAAGCUAAACAAAGAUCAUGCAAGAGAGUAGGAAGGGUUUGUUUUUGGCCCUUUUCAUAUGUAAUUGUCUACACUAAUAAUUCUCAGACUUGCAUACCAAGUGAAGUCAAUCUCACUAAGGGUCUCAAUCAAGACUCAGGCUUGAGUGUGUGCUCCAGGCUCUGAGCAUUCCCCCAUCACCCCUCUCCAUCCUGUCCUCCAAAUUUCCAUCCAUUUUUUUUUUCAAGCCAGGAAUGUUCCCAUAUGUCUGUAAUCCCAGCACUUUAGGUGGCUGAGGCUGGAGGAUUGCAUGUUCAAGCCCAGCCUGGGCAAUUUAGUGAAUUGGAAAGACAUUGUUUCAAAAUGUAAUAAAUGAAUGAAUGAAUGAAUGAAUAAUAAAUAAAUGAAUGGGCUGAGGAUGUACCUCAGUGGAAAGGCCCUGUGUUUAAUGCCCAGGAUUGAAAAAAGGAAUUUACUUUUUUACCAAAGCACAGCUAUUGUCAUGUGACUCCCUCCUUGAAGCAUCAUUAUAACUUCCUGACUGCUCGGCGUGCUCAGCGUGGCUCCAGCUCCUGUCCACCGUCUGAUACCUUUUGUAUCGCCUCAUCUUCUGACACUCCAGCCCAGCAGGCGUCUGGUUCCCUUCACGACACGCCUCACUCUGCCCUCCCAGUCACUGUUUCCUCAUGUUUGUUCGUUCUGCUCACCCUUCAAAGCCCUGCUAAAAUUCCUAGAAUGUUCAUUGUGAAUGUUUUCCUCCAUCAUUUCCUCUGUGGACUGUAUUGGUCUCUUUUAUUGCAUUUACCAGGAUUUAACUUGUUUCAUGCUUACUUGUGUCUUUCUCUUCUUGUGUUGUUAGCCCCCCAAAUUAUACCAUCUGUUGUGAUUUUCAGUUGUUAGCAGGUAUUACAGUCAUCUAAGGGUUAAUUAAAACAGAAAUUUGGGGUCCCAUUCCAAGUAUUUCUAAUGCAAUAUACCUGUGGAGGGGCAUAGGAAAGUCCUUUUCCAAUAAGGCCACAGGCGCUGCUGCUACAGUUGGUGACAGAAAACACUUUGAGAACCAUUGCUUUCCAAGGAGGGUGAGAAUGAUGUAAAACAAAUGAGACUCUGCUUUGCUGUGGAAGAUAGAGCACGGAUAGUGAAAUCAUAGGAUUUCAUGCAACUUGGGUUAGAUUUCUGUUCUGUCACUUGAUGUUUGAACAAGUUACUUAACCUUUCUAAGAAACUUAACUUUCUUGCCAGGUAGUUUAGGAACAUUAUUAACUCUUAUAUAAGAAUUUUUUCUGAGGGUUAUAUAGGAUUGCAAAAUACCCAAUAAAUGGUGGCUACUACUAUGAAUCCAUUUAUUCUACAAAAUAACCGUGUAAGAUACGUUUUUGCUCCCAUUGGCCGUACUGUACCCCCAGACAGCUUCUUGGACUUUUAAUUAAAG